UCUCCCGCAGGGGGCGCACGAGGCUACCAGCUCUAGACUGGAGCUGCAGCUCCCCACAGGUUGGCCAGGCUGGCUUUGAAGGUCAUCCGGCCAGAGCUGUCCCCGCCCAGCCACCCUGCCACCCCGUGAAUCAGCUCUCCUGUCAGGGCCAGAUCUCUGUGUGGUUGGGAAAGGGGCCAGCCUCGCCAAGGUUGGUGUUUGUUCUGUUUCAAAAGGAAACAGUUUCAAGAGCAGGAGCUGGGACUGAGGUUGUGAAAUGAGAAGUCAGGCCAGGUGGGAAAUGGGGGAAGCUGAGCAUGGCCCCAUCGCACCAGGCCUGGGGUGGGAAGACAGGAAUGCAUGGGCUCAGGUGACCAGCAGGGUGGAGUCUUGAGGAGCAGGGCUCAGGAGCCACAGUGCCUGAGCUUGAAUCAUGCAACUCUGUGAGUCUGAAAAUGGAAACUGAGAUCAAAGAAAGGAGAUGUCUUGUUCAAGAUCACUAUGCAUCAAGGAAGUAGCAGAGGAAGGACUUGAACCUGGUUCCCCUGACCCUAGAGCAUUCAAUGACCUUGGACGUGCUCUCAAAGGACAAAAUUGGAGGGCAGGACAUGAGUGAAGACGGGGCUCAAGGAAUAAAGACAAGAGAAUGGCCUCUCGAGCUUGCACUCAAUGGUGAGCUCAGAGGGAGACUAGAAGUCAUAUAAAUUCCACAGCAUAGCAAAUUCCCAUGUGGGACCCAACUCCCAGGAAAUUUAAUCUGCAAGUAUUCACGUUAUUGAAUAAGUUUAAUCCCAGGAUCUUUGUAACCAGGGCCCCUGACCAAGGGCAGUUCAUUCUUCGUGGUGCCAUGCAGAUCUGAGAGGUCUUCACGCUCUUCCUGUUUAUCAUGUGUCCAUCCUGGUGUUCUUUAUCAUCUGGAAGCAUGUGAACAAAAGCGUCCCAAAG
Equus caballus (horse) is the source of this 924-nucleotide non-coding RNA. The record is from RefSeq and is a predicted model, not a curated record. Lineage: Eukaryota; Metazoa; Chordata; Mammalia; Perissodactyla; Equidae.